This 1227-nucleotide ribosomal RNA is filed under the name Zacco platypus (freshwater minnow). Its description in RNAcentral is "partial 16S ribosomal RNA". It matches the Rfam family "Bacterial large subunit ribosomal RNA", at positions 690 to 2561 of the family's 2925-position model. Lineage: Eukaryota; Metazoa; Chordata; Actinopteri; Cypriniformes; Xenocyprididae. The record is from RNAcentral.
AGCCCUUUAGUUUGAAACCCCGAAACCAGGUGAGCUACCCCGAGACCGCCUAUUUAAAUUUAGGGCUAACCCGUCUCUGUGGCAAAAGAGUGGGAAGAGCUCCGGGUAGAAGUGAUAGACCUACCGAACCUGGUGAUAGCUGGUUGCCUGAGAAAUGGAUAGAAGUUCAGCCUCGUACACCCCUAAUCGAGUAUAUAUUAUUAAGAUACUAGGGAAACAUACGAGAGUUAGUUGAAGGGGGUACAGCCCCUUUAACAAAGGAUACAACCUUCACAGGAGGAUAAAGAUCAUAAUAUAUAUAAAAUAUACUGUUUUAGUGGGCCUAAAAGCAGCCAUCUAAACGGAAAGCGUUAAAGCUCGGACAGAAACAAAUUUAUUAUUCUGAUAAUAAAUCUUACUCCCCUAACACUAUCAGGCUAACCCAUGCAUCCAUGGAAGAAAUUAUGCUAAAAUGAGUAACAAGAAGACACGCUCUUCUCCAAGCACAAGUGUAAGCCAGAUCGGACCACCCGCUGGAAAUUAACGAACCCAACCCAAGAGAGUAAUGUGGCCAAUAAGGAAAUCAAGAAAACCCCACAACUACGUAAUCGUUAAUCCCACACUGGAGUGCUAUUUAUAGAGGAAAGACUAAAAGAAAGGGAAGGAACUCGGCAAACACAAGCCUCGCCUGUUUACCAAAAACAUCGCCUCCUGCAACCAAACUGAGUAUAGGAGGUCCAGCCUGCCCAGUGACUACGGGUUCAACGGCCGCGGUAUUUUGACCGUGCAAAGGUAGCGCAAUCACUUGUCUUUUAAAUAGAGACCUGUAUGAAUGGCUAAACGAGGGCUUAGCUGUCUCCCCCUUCCAGUCAGUGAAAUUGAUCUAUCCGUGCAGAAGCGGGUAUAAGACUACAAGACGAGAAGACCCUUUGGAGCUUAAGGUACAAAAUCCAACCACGUCAAGAAACUCAGUAAAAAGUAAGAACUCAGUGGAUCGUGGAAAUUUACCUUCGGUUGGGGCGACCACGGAGGAAAAACCAGCCUCCGAGUGGAAUGGGUUAAAUUCCUAAAACCAAGAGAAACACCUCUAAGCCACAGAACAUCUGACCAAUAAAUGAUCCGGCCUAUAAAGCCGAUCAACGAACCAAGUUACCCUAGGGAUAACAGCGCAAUCCUCUCCCAGAGUCCAUAUCGACGAGGGGGUUUACGACCUCGAUGUUGGAUCAGGACAUCCUAAUGGUGCAGCCG